GCGCCCGUAGCUCAGGGGAUAGAGCAGCCGCCUUCUAAGCGGUCGGUCGAGGGUUCGAAUCCUUCCGGGCGCACCA
This 76-nucleotide transfer RNA is filed under the name Trueperaceae bacterium. RNAcentral describes it as "tRNA-Arg". It matches the Rfam family "tRNA". From Rfam's summary of the family: Transfer RNA (tRNA) molecules are approximately 80 nucleotides in length. Their secondary structure includes four short double-helical elements and three loops (D, anti-codon, and T loops). Lineage: Bacteria; Thermotogati; Deinococcota; Deinococci; Trueperales; Trueperaceae. The record is from RNAcentral.